UGGGGAAUUUUGGACAAUGGGGGAAACCCUGAUCCAGCCAUCCCGCGUGUGCGAUGAAGGCCUUCGGGUUGUAAAGCACUUUUGGCAGGAAAGAAACGUCAUGGGUUAAUACCCCGUGAAACUGACGGUACCUGCAGAAUAAGCACCGGCUAACUACGUGCCAGCAGCCGCGGUAAUACGUAGGGUGCAAGCGUUAAUCGGAAUUACUGGGCGUAAAGCGUGCGCAGGCGGUUCGGAAAGAAAGAUGUGAAAUCCCAGAGCUCAACUUUGGAACUGCAUUUUUAACUACCGGGCUAGAGUGUGUCAGAGGGAGGUGGAAUUCCGCGUGUAGCAGUGAAAUGCGUAGAUAUGCGGAGGAACACCGAUGGCGAAGGCAGCCUCCUGGGAUAACACUGACGCUCAUGCACGAAAGCGUGGGGAGCAAACA
RNAcentral lists this ribosomal RNA (427 nucleotides) under Acidobacteriota bacterium. Its description in RNAcentral is "Acidobacteria bacterium partial 16S ribosomal RNA". It matches the Rfam family "Bacterial small subunit ribosomal RNA", at positions 355 to 774 of the family's 1533-position model. The record is from RNAcentral. Lineage: Bacteria; Pseudomonadati; Acidobacteriota.